RNAcentral lists this ribosomal RNA (592 nucleotides) under Saccharomyces cerevisiae (brewer's yeast). Its description in RNAcentral is "eukaryotic LSU rRNA". It matches the Rfam family "Eukaryotic large subunit ribosomal RNA", at positions 56 to 668 of the family's 3401-position model. The record is from RNAcentral. Lineage: Eukaryota; Fungi; Ascomycota; Saccharomycetes; Saccharomycetales; Saccharomycetaceae.
GCGGGCGUUCGUUAAUGUGUUAACUACGGCGAGUGAGCGGCAAAAGCUCAAAUUUGAAAUCUGGUACCUUCGGUGCCCGAGUUGUAAUUUGGAGAGGGCAACUUUGGGGCCGUUCCUUGUCUAUGUUCCUUGGAACAGGACGUCAUAGAGGGUGAGAAUCCCGUGUGGCGAGGAGUGCGGUUCUUUGUAAAGUGCCUUCGAAGAGUCGAGUUGUUUGGGAAUGCAGCUCUAAGUGGGUGGUAAAUUCCAUCUAAAGCUAAAUAUUGGCGAGAGACCGAUAGCGAACAAGUACAGUGAUGGAAAGAUGAAAAGAACUUUGAAAAGAGAGUGAAAAAGUACGUGAAAUUGUUGAAAGGGAAGGGCAUUUGAUCAGACAUGGUGUUUUGUGCCCUCUGCUCCUUGUGGGUAGGGGAAUCUCGCAUUUCACUGGGCCAGCAUCAGUUUUGGUGGCAGGAUAAAUCCAUAGGAAUGUAGCUUGCCUCGGUAAGUAUUAUAGCCUGUGGGAAUACUGCCAGCUGGGACUGAGGACUGCGACGUAAGUCAAGGAUGCUGGCAUAAUGGUUAUAUGCCGCCCGUCUUGAAACACGGACCA